Molecule: ribosomal RNA, 253 nt
Filed under: uncultured bacterium
Lineage: Bacteria
Description: partial 16S ribosomal RNA
Rfam family: Bacterial small subunit ribosomal RNA
Source: RNAcentral
UACGUAGGGGGCAAGCGUUGUCCGGAUUUAUUGGGCGUAAAGAGCGUGUAGGCGGCCAGGUAGGUCCGUUGUGAAAACUCGAGGCUCAACCUCGAGACGCCGAUGGAAACCAUCUGGCUAGAGUCCGGAAGAGGAGAGUGGAAUUCCCGGUGUAGCGGUGAAAUGCGCAGAUAUCAGGAGGAACACCGGUGGCGAAGGCGGGUCUCUGGGCCGUAACUGACGCUGAGGAGCGAAAGCGUGGGGAGCGAACAGG